Long non-coding RNA from Podarcis muralis (Common wall lizard), 3934 nucleotides. The record is from Ensembl. NCBI's taxonomy places the organism in Eukaryota, Metazoa, Chordata, Lepidosauria, Squamata, Lacertidae.
AUGCAGGAACCUUCCCACUCAUGCUGUGUUUUGUUUUGCUACCUACUGGUACAUGGAGCAGGCAGCUGCUUGGGAGAGGCUUCCAUUGAACACAGGGGUGGGGCUGUGAGUGAGAGGGUAGGGCAUCCCUUUUUCUUUUCUUUUCUUUUGUUUCUGCUGCUUGCCCCACAGCAGGGAUUGCUCCAAGGUUGUCUUUUGGGGGCAGGGGAGAGCUCAGUGGAAAUGCAGAAACAUUACAAGUAUUGUUAUUGCCUCCUCAUACAGAGUUUUGAGAAGCUUGUAGAUGACGUUCAGCCUCAAACAUCACACUACUCUGGGCCAGAAUUGUUCAGCUACUACUCCGCUGCCAACACUUGACAUGGAAUCCUGGAGGGUCAGGGUUCAGCCCCAAAUUGACGAGCCACGCCGGGUUAUGGUAUGGAAUUACAGAUGACAAUUUAUAUAUAGAUUUUGUUGGUCCUUAGAAAAAUGAGCUAACAGUGUGAGUCACUAUAAGUGUGUAACUUCUAUAUCAGAUAUGUCAGUGGGGGAAACAUUGGAAUUUUUCUUACCAUGAAUUUCUGUUUUAAGAUGCCUUCUGGAGGCCAUUCCCAAGGUUAAGGAAUGCUCUCUGGAAGACUCUUAAAAAGAGGUUUGUCUCAAACACUUGGAAAUAUGGUAUCAACAUCCUUCAUAGGGAGCUUGACGAAGUAUAUCAUUAUCAAAGAGGGGGCUAAAAGGCAGGAGAAACAGUAUGCAGAAUUGUAUCUACUGCCUAGAAGAUUAAGCUGUUAUCAGUUAUGAUUUGUUUGAAUUCUUGCAUUGUCUUUAAAAAGUUAUUAAUAGCCUUACAAUCAAGCUCUUGAUUUAUUUAGAACUUUAAUAACAACAACACACAACUGAGUGAAGCAAAGGGCAAAGUCAAAAGCUAAAGUAUUAUAAGGUUGAUAUAAUAGAUGGUAAGGUUGAUCUUAUUGCUUACUGUUCACAACAGUGAUCCAAACAUUUCACCACCCCCAUUCCAAAGUGGGGAACUCUGGCACUCUCCUCAGCUUACCUGCAUGUGCUAUAUACUGACUGACUGUUUGAAAAGAGAGAUCAAAAACAAGUUAUGGGCAGUCUAGAUUAUCCCCAUUCAAAAUAAGAAAAGACAGACACAAGGCUACUUAAAAGUGAGGCUGCACUUCUUCACUGUUCAACACCUAUUAUCAACAAUAAUAAUUUAUUUGGGCAGGAAGAGACCAUUCACAUUCUCUCCCAGAUCUUUGUCUUAUUUUUCUGUUCUCCAACUGCAGCUCAUCUACAAGCUAUGUUAGCUGAUGCCUUCUAGCCAAUAUAUCUAGAGCUCCCUACAUACCCAACAACCAGAGCAGCACUAGAGUAAGAGUUGGAAAUCCUGUGGAACAAGAGUGAAAUGAAUGAAGGUUGUCACGAUAGCUACAGAGUACCUCCAGGCCCUUUGCCCUGGCAGAAGAAUCUGAUGCUUUCUUCACUUGAUAGGAUAGCCACCUUCAAAUAUCUCAAGGGUUGAUACAUGGAAGAUGCAGCAAGCUUGUUUUCUCCUGCUCCAAGGGGGUGGACUUGAACCAAUGGAUUCAAGUUACAAGAAAGGAGAUUCCGACUAAACAUCAGGAAAAACUUUCUGACACUAAGAGCUGUUCAACAGUCAAAUGGAGGUUUUUAAGCAGAGGUUGGAUGGCCACUCAUCAUGGAUGCUUUAGUUGAGAUUGCUUUAGUUGGACUUAAUGACCCUUGGAGUCCCUUCCAACUCUACAUUUCUAUGAUUCAUUUGCUAAUCUCCUGAUUUCCUCCAAAGGUUGGUCACUGUGUACCUGCAUUGCACUUCACACUGCAGUACUCUUGCAGGCUUGGUUUAGAUAAUGGCAGAUGAAAUACCAAAAGCAAGAAAAACUGAAGAUGAGUCAUGGCCAACUUAGAAGUCAUUUUCUUUUACUGCUUUGCAGCCACAAUGCUGUCUAUUCCUUCCCACAUUUAUUACAAACAGCAUUCAGUAGAAUGCAACCACUUAAGCUUAAGCACUGUGACAACAAUGUUAUUUAUAGGACACCAUGGUCAAAGCAAACAAUUUGCAUCAAACUAUAUUACACCACUUAAAAAAACAACAACCACAAGUUGACAAUAAUAAUAUUCUCCAAAGUCACAUACUUCAUGACAAAUGCAUCUUUCCCCCCCUAAUUAGAUGGGUCGAUGGCAUUGACAUGUGUGCGUAAAUGCAUAGCCACUUUCACUCCAGGAAAUGCAGCAGGAUGUAAAACAAUUGAAUGUGAGGAAUGCUGCAUGUGAACACAUUCCGAAUAAUCAAACAAAUAAUCUGAUUAAGUUACAAAGGACAGCUACUACUGAGUUGUAAAUUACCUAACGCACAUACCAAAUCCAACUAUAAAAGUCAAAUCUGUAUUUAUGGAGAUUAUGUGAAAAGCUUCUUAGAAGUGGGGUUUUUUAAAUCCCUAAUGGAAUAGUAUAAUCUUUUUUAAACAAAACAAAACAAAAAACCUUUACUAUAAAUUGCCAGGAUUGUACCACCGGCUCUGAUUUAUACCAAAUCCAGCUGAAAUGUUGGUCAGAUAGAUUUCCGGUUUCCAAAGCACAAAAAAAGAUGUUGGAAAUCAGUUGAUGUAGAAAUUAAAGAAUGAUUUAGUAAUUUCUAAAGUAGCCAAUAAUUGUUCCUGCACCUGAGAACCUGAUGGACAGUUUUAUAUGGGAGUAAAAAGUGACAAUUUUGUUAUUCAUAUCAAAUGGUCAGAAUUCCAAUACAGCAUCCUUGGACUGAAUUGUUUUAUGCAUGACCUCCUUAAGGGUUUUUCCUUGUCAAAUGGAGUAAUUAUCACAUUGCCUACCACUAUUAGGUAUAUUCAUGAUACAGAAUGAUAAAUAAGAAAGCAUUUCAAGAAAAAAGGAAAAGGAUAAGCAAAUAAUAUAGGUAUAUCAAUACAUACACUCAUAGACUUCCCUAUUAGGAAAGUUUGGAGCGUUUGGGACUUUCUAGUUUAGAGAAAAGGUGAGUAAGAUGUGACUUGAUAGAAAUUUAUAAAAUUAUGCAUGACAUGGAGAAAGUAGAUAGUAGUUUUUUCUCCCUUGUAGCACUACAGCUUGUGGACAUCCAGUGAAGCUCAAUGUCGGAAAAUUCAGGGCAGAGUAUUUUUUCACACAGCACAAAGUUGAACUAUGGAACUUGCUCCCACAGGAGGCAGUGAUGACCACCAGCUUGGAUGGCUUUAAAAGAGGAUUGGACAACUUCAUGGAGGGUAAGGCUAUCAACUUUCUACAAUGGCUAUUCUUCUACUUCCACUGUCAGAGGCAGCAUGUCUCUGAAUACCAGUUGCUGAGAAUCAUGGGUGGGCAGAGUGCUGCUGCACUCAUGUCCCUUUAUUGGACUUCCCACAGGCAUCUGGCUGACCACUGUGAGAACAGGGUGCUGGACUAGAGGGGCCACUGGCCUGAUCCAGCAGGCUCUUAAGUUCUUAGACUUUGAAAAUGGCUUGCAAUUUACAAAGAAAUGUGGAUCAAGAAUAAAUUAAAUAAAAAUAUGGUUUCUGUACACAUUAUCUUCCAUAAACAUUCUAAGGGAAGACCCAUUUCCUAGGAAGUACCUUCUGCAGGCACAUGUAAUUAUCUCUUUUCCAUACUGUUCACGUGGUAUGUUUAUGUUACAACUGGGCUCGGCUUUUUGUUGGUUUGUUUCCUUCGAUUCAACCUGAUUUGGUUCAGUUAAAGAGGUAGGGUGUAAAUAGGAGAGUUGGUGAAAACUGAAAGCCUAUUUCUUUCCCCUGGAGAACAAAUCCUGAUUUGAACAAAAUGGAAAGUGUGAAGCCACCCCUCAAGUCUUUGGGCGGCCUUUUCCACUUGAACAUCUCCAGCCGCCAAGUACGGUCCCCUCUGUCCAUUCAGAGAACAAGAGGUGCUACAACAAGAAGAUGGUGAACAAUUUUAUCAU